RNAcentral lists this unclassified non-coding RNA (215 nucleotides) under uncultured Canalisporium. Its description in RNAcentral is "sequence contains ITS1". The record is from RNAcentral. Lineage: Eukaryota; Fungi; Ascomycota; Sordariomycetes.
CCGGGUCUUCGACUUGCCCGAAACCAAACGUGCACCUACGAUAUUAAUUCGCUGCGGCGGGCCGCUCGCUGGGGGAGCCGCCGGGCCGAGAGGCUGGCCCGCCAAAGCAGCGAGAGCAUUGAGCUCUUGAAACUUGAAGCCGAGGCGCUCUGAAAAUUAUCUUCUGAAGCACCACGUGAGCCGCCCCGCAAGGGUGACGGCGAAACGACUAGUUA